UCAACUACUUUACUGCUUAUUGCUCUACACUAUUGCAGAGCUUUUCCAAAAUUUAUUUCCAAGCCACAGACUCACU
RNAcentral lists this unclassified non-coding RNA (76 nucleotides) under Enterobius vermicularis (human pinworm). RNAcentral describes it as "partial SL1 RNA". The record is from RNAcentral. Lineage: Eukaryota; Metazoa; Nematoda; Chromadorea; Rhabditida; Oxyuridae.